This 406-nucleotide ribosomal RNA is filed under the name uncultured bacterium. RNAcentral's name for it is "partial 16S ribosomal RNA". It matches the Rfam family "Bacterial small subunit ribosomal RNA", at positions 30 to 526 of the family's 1533-position model. The record is from RNAcentral.
AUUGAACGCUGGCGGCAGGCCUAACACAUGCAAGUCGAACGAGUGGCGGACGGGUGAGUAAUGUCUGGGCAACUGCCCGAUGGAGGGGGAUAACUACUGGAAACGGUAGCUAAUACCGCAUACCAUCGGAUGUUCCCAGAUGGGAUUAGCUAGUAGGUGGGGUAACGGCUCACCUAGUCGACGGUCCCUAGCUGGUUUUAGAGGAUGACCAGCCACACUGGAACGGAGACACGGUCCAGACUCCUACGGGAGGCAGCAGUGGGGAAUAUUGCACAAUGGGCGCAAGCCUGAUGCAGCCAUGCCGCGUGUAUGAAGAAGGCCUUCGGGUUGUAAAGUACUUUCAGCGAGGAGGCGUUACUCGCAGAAGAAGCCCCGGCUAACUCCGUGCCAGCAGCCGCGGUAAUAC